AGAGUUUGAUCCUGGCUCAGAACGAACGCUGGCGGAAUGCUUUACACAUGCAAGUCGAACGGUAGAGGGGGCAACCCCUUGAGAGUGGCGAACGGGUGAGUAAUGUAUCGGAACGUGCCCAGUCGUGGGGGAUAACGUAGUGAAAAUUACGCUAAUACCGCAUACGAUCUAUGGAUGAAAGCGGGGGAUCGCAAGACCUCGCGCGAUUGGAGCGGCCGAUAUCAGAUUAGGUAGUUGGUGGGGUAAAGGCUCACCAAGCCAACGAUCUGUAGCUGGUCUGAGAGGACGACCAGCCACACUGGAACUGAGACACGGUCCAGACUCCUACGGGAGGCAGCAGUGGGGAAUUUUGGACAAUGGACGCAAGUCUGAUCCAGCCAUUCCGCGUGCAGGACGAAGGCCUUCGGGUUGUAAACUGCUUUUGUACGGAACGAAAAAGCUCUUAUUAAUACUAGGAGUCCAUGACGGUACCGUAAGAAUAAGCACCGGCUAACUACGUGCCAGCAGCCGCGGUAAUACGUAGGGUGCAAGCGUUAAUCGGAAUUACUGGGCGUAAAGCGUGCGCAGGCGGUUAUAUAAGACAGAUGUGAAAUCCCCGAGCUUAACUUGGGAACUGCAUUUGUGACUGUAUAGCUAGAGUACGGCAGAGGGGGAUGGAAUUCCGCGUGUAGCAGUGAAAUGCGUAGAUAUGCGGAGGAACACCGAUGGCGAAGGCAAUCCCCUGGGCCUGUACUGACGCUCAUGCACGAAAGCGUGGGGAGCAAACAGGAUUAGAUACCCUGGUAGUCCACGCCCUAAACGAUGUCAACUGGUUGUUGGGUCUUCACUGACUCAGUAACGAAGCUAACGCGUGAAGU
Molecule: ribosomal RNA, 857 nt
Filed under: uncultured bacterium
Lineage: Bacteria
Description: bacterial SSU rRNA
Rfam family: Bacterial small subunit ribosomal RNA
Source: RNAcentral